GGUUAAGCGACUAAGCGUACACGGUGGAUGCCCUGGCAGUCAGAGGCGAUGAAGGACGUGCUAAUCUGCGAUAAGCGCCGGUAAGGUGAUAUGAACCGUUAUAACCGGCGAUUUCCGAAUGGGGAAACCCAGUGUGAUUCGUCACACUAUCAUUAACUGAAUCCAUAGGUUAAUGAGGCGAACCGGGGGAACUGAAACAUCUAAGUACCCCGAGGAAAAGAAAUCAACCGAGAUUCCCCCAGUAGCGGCGAGCGAACGGGGAGGAGCCCAGAGCCUGAAUCAGCAUGUGUGUUAGUGGAAGCGUCUGGAAAGGUGCGCGAUACAGGGUGACAGCCCCGUACACAAAAGCGCAUGUGCUGUGAGCUCGAUGAGUAGGGCGGGACACGUGGUAUCCUGUCUGAAUAUGGGGGGACCAUCCUCCAAGGCUAAAUACUCCUGACUGACCGAUAGUGAACCAGUACCGUGAGGGAAAGGCGAAAAGAACCCCGGCGAGGGGAGUGAAAAAGAACCUGAAACCGUGUACGUACAAGCAGUGGGAGCACAGGUUUACCUGUGUGACUGCGUACCUUUUGUAUAAUGGGUCAGCGACUUAUAUUCUGUAGCAAGGUUAACCGUAUAGGGGAGCCGUAGGGAAACCGAGUCUUAACCGGGCGUUAAGUUGCAGGGUAUAGACCCGAAACCCGGUGAUCUAGCCAUGGGCAGGUUGAAGGUUGGGUAACACUAACUGGAGGACCGAACCGACUAAUGUUGAAAAAUUAGCGGAUGACCUGUGGCUGGGGGUGAAAGGCCAAUCAAACCGGGAGAUAGCUGGUUCUCCCCGAAAGCUAUUUAGGUAGCGCCUCGUGAAUUCAUCUCCGGGGGUAGAGCACUGUUUCGGCUAGGGGGCCAUCCCGGCUUACCAACCCGAUGCAAACUGCGAAUACCGGAGAAUGUUAUCACGGGAGACACACGGCGGGUGCUAACGUCCGUCGUGAAGAGGGAAACAACCCAGACCGCCAGCUAAGGUCCCAAAGUCAUGGUUAAGUGGGAAACGAUGUGGGAAGGCCCAGACAGCCAGGAUGUUGGCUUAGAAGCAGCCAUCAUUUAAAGAAAGCGUAAUAGCUCACUGGUCGAGUCGGCCUGCGCGGAAGAUGUAACGGGGCUAAACCAUGCACCGAAGCUGCGGCAGCGAACGUAUCACCCAAGACAACUUUACGGAGUUGACGAUUGACGGAGCGAAGCGACGUCAAAGCGUUCAUUAAAGUCGAGUUGGCUUAGGGAUACGUUCGUUGGGUAGGGGAGCGUUCUGUAAGCCUGUGAAGGUGUGUCGUGAGGCAUGCUGGAGGUAUCAGAAGUGCGAAUGCUGACAUAAGUAACGAUAAAGCGGGUGAAAAGCCCGCUCGCCGGAAGACCAAGGGUUCCUGUCCAACGUUAAUCGGGGCAGGGUGAGUCGACCCCUAAGGCGAGGCCGAAAGGCGUAGUCGAUGGGAAACGGGUUAAUAUUCCCGUACUUGGUGUUACUGCGAAGGGGGGACGGAGAAGGCUAUGUUGGCCGGGCGACGGUUGUCCCGGUUUAAGCGUGUAGGUGUGUGUUCCAGGUAAAUCCGGUUCACUUUAACACUGAGGCGUGACGACGAGGCACUACGGUGCUGAAGCAACAAAUGCCCUGCUUCCAGGAAAAGCCUCUAAGCAUCAGGUAACAUCAAAUCGUACCCCAAACCGACACAGGUGGUCAGGUAGAGAAUACCAAGGCGCUUGAGAGAACUCGGGUGAAGGAACUAGGCAAAAUGGUGCCGUAACUUCGGGAGAAGGCACGCUGACACGUAGGUGAAGUGAUUUACUCAUGGAGCUGAAGUCAGUCGAAGAUACCAGCUGGCUGCAACUGUUUAUUAAAAACACAGCACUGUGCAAACACGAAAGUGGACGUAUACGGUGUGACGCCUGCCCGGUGCCGGAAGGUUAAUUGAUGGGGUCAGCGCAAGCGAAGCUCCUGAUCGAAGCCCCGGUAAACGGCGGCCGUAACUAUAACGGUCCUAAGGUAGCGAAAUUCCUUGUCGGGUAAGUUCCGACCUGCACGAAUGGCGUAAUGAUGGCCAGGCUGUCUCCACCCGAGACUCAGUGAAAUUGAACUCGCUGUGAAGAUGCAGUGUACCCGCGGCAAGACGGAAAGACCCCGUGAACCUUUACUAUAGCUUGACACUGAACAUUGAGCCUUGAUGUGUAGGAUAGGUGGGAGGCUUUGAAGUGUGGACGCCAGUCUGCAUGGAGCCGACCUUGAAAUACCACCCUUUAAUGUUUGAUGUUCUAACGUGGACCCGUAAUCCGGGUUGCGGACAGUGUCUGGUGGGUAGUUUGACUGGGGCGGUCUCCUCCUAAAGAGUAACGGAGGAGCACGAAGGUUGGCUAAUCCUGGUCGGACAUCAGGAGGUUAGUGCAAUGGCAUAAGCCAGCUUGACUGCGAGCGUGACGGCGCGAGCAGGUGCGAAAGCAGGUCAUAGUGAUCCGGUGGUUCUGAAUGGAAGGGCCAUCGCUCAACGGAUAAAAGGUACUCCGGGGAUAACAGGCUGAUACCGCCCAAGAGUUCAUAUCGACGGCGGUGUUUGGCACCUCGAUGUCGGCUCAUCACAUCCUGGGGCUGAAGUAGGUCCCAAGGGUAUGGCUGUUCGCCAUUUAAAGUGGUACGCGAGCUGGGUUUAGAACGUCGUGAGACAGUUCGGUCCCUAUCUGCCGUGGGCGCUGGAGAACUGAGGGGGGCUGCUCCUAGUACGAGAGGACCGGAGUGGACGCAUCACUGGUGUUCGGGUUGUCAUGCCAAUGGCACUGCCCGGUAGCUAAAUGCGGAAGAGAUAAGUGCUGAAAGCAUCUAAGCACGAAACUUGCCCCGAGAUGAGUUCUCCCUGAGACUUAGAGUCUCCUGAAGGAACGUUGAAGACGACGACGUUGAUAGGCCGGGUGUGUAAGCGCAGCGAUGCGUUGAGCUAACCGGUACUAAUGAACCGUGAGGCUUAACCUU
This 2992-nucleotide ribosomal RNA is filed under the name Salmonella enterica subsp. enterica serovar 4,[5],12:i:-. RNAcentral's name for it is "23S ribosomal RNA". It matches the Rfam family "Bacterial large subunit ribosomal RNA". Lineage: Bacteria; Pseudomonadati; Pseudomonadota; Gammaproteobacteria; Enterobacterales; Enterobacteriaceae. RNAcentral also lists the same sequence under 1 other name. The record is from RNAcentral.